AUGGUCGCUAGAGAUUUCAACUUGAUCGCGGACCCAUCCGAUAAAAGCAACAAUCGGAUCAACAGGCAGAUGAUGGGGCGGUUUAGAAGGUACAUCACAGAUCUGGACAUGCACGAGCUCUACAUCAACGGUAGGAGGUACACUUGGUCGAAUGAGAGGAUGGAACCAACGCUCGAGAAACUGGAGCGAGCUCUCGUCUCCGUGGACUGGGAGGCUAUGUACCCUACUUCCUUCCUGUCAACGCUCAUCACUAACAUCUCGGAUUAUUGCCCACUGCAUCUUGUGCUGGAGGCAAACUUGAAGCGUGGCAGGCAUUUCCACUUCGAAUCAUUCUAG
RNAcentral lists this ribosomal RNA (336 nucleotides) under Triticum aestivum (bread wheat). Its description in RNAcentral is "partial small subunit ribosomal RNA". Lineage: Eukaryota; Viridiplantae; Streptophyta; Magnoliopsida; Poales; Poaceae. The record is from RNAcentral.